UACCGCACUGUGGGUACUUGCU
Molecule: non-coding RNA, 22 nt
Filed under: Mus musculus (house mouse)
Lineage: Eukaryota; Metazoa; Chordata; Mammalia; Rodentia; Muridae
Also listed under: 3 other names
Source: RNAcentral